This 482-nucleotide ribosomal RNA is filed under the name uncultured bacterium. RNAcentral's name for it is "partial 16S ribosomal RNA". It matches the Rfam family "Bacterial small subunit ribosomal RNA", at positions 28 to 507 of the family's 1533-position model. The record is from RNAcentral.
GAUGAACGCUAGCGGCAGGCCUAAUACAUGCAAGUCGAACGAGAUUAAGAGGCUUGCUUCUUAUGAAAGUGGCGCACGGGUGCGUAACGCGUAUGCAACCUACCUUAAUCAGGGGGAUAGCCCGAAGAAAUUCGGAUUAAGACCGCAUAAAAACACAGGAUAGCAUUAUCCAAUGUUCAAAUAUUUAUAGGAUUAAGAUGGGCAUGCGUGUCAUUAGCUAGUUGGCGGGGUAACGGCCCACCAAGGCGACGAUGACUAGGGGAUCCGAGAGGAUGACCCCCCACACUGGUACUGAGACACGGACCAGACUCCUACGGGAGGCAGCAGUAAGGGAUAUUGGUCAAUGGAGGGAACUCUGAACCAGCCAUGCCGCGUGCAGGAAGACAGCCCUCUGGGUCGUAAACUGCUUUUAUUCGGGAAUAAACCUUUCUACGUGUAGGAAGCUGAAUGUACCGAAGGAAUAAGGAUCGGCUAACUCCGUG